UUCCUCCUACGGGAGGCAGCAGUGAGGAAUAUUGGUCAAUGGUCGGGAGACUGAACCAGCCAAGCCGCGUGAGGGAAGACGGCCCUAUGGGUUGUAAACCUCUUUUGUCGGAGAACAAAACCCGGGACGUGUCCCGGACUGCGUGUAUCCGAAGAAAAAGCAUCGGCUAACUCCGUGCCAGCAGCCGCGGUAAUACGGAGGAUGCGAGCGUUAUCCGGAUUUAUUGGGUUUAAAGGGUGCGCAGGCGGAAGAUCAAGUCAGCGGUAAAAUUGAGAGGCUCAACCUCUUCGAGCCGUUGAAACUGG
This 305-nucleotide ribosomal RNA is filed under the name uncultured bacterium. RNAcentral describes it as "bacterial SSU rRNA". It matches the Rfam family "Bacterial small subunit ribosomal RNA", at positions 333 to 636 of the family's 1533-position model. The record is from RNAcentral.